Molecule: ribosomal RNA, 729 nt
Filed under: Pseudomonas sp. 120516_NH_C1_F7
Lineage: Bacteria; Pseudomonadati; Pseudomonadota; Gammaproteobacteria; Pseudomonadales; Pseudomonadaceae
Description: bacterial SSU rRNA
Rfam family: Bacterial small subunit ribosomal RNA
Source: RNAcentral
UGGCUCAGAUUGAACGCUGGCGGCAGGCCUAACACAUGCAAGUCGAGCGGAUGACGGGAGCUUGCUCCUUGAUUCAGCGGCGGACGGGUGAGUAAUGCCUAGGAAUCUGCCUGGUAGUGGGGGACAACGUUUCGAAAGGAACGCUAAUACCGCAUACGUCCUACGGGAGAAAGCAGGGGACCUUCGGGCCUUGCGCUAUCAGAUGAGCCUAGGUCGGAUUAGCUAGUUGGUGGGGUAAUGGCUCACCAAGGCGACGAUCCGUAACUGGUCUGAGAGGAUGAUCAGUCACACUGGAACUGAGACACGGUCCAGACUCCUACGGGAGGCAGCAGUGGGGAAUAUUGGACAAUGGGCGAAAGCCUGAUCCAGCCAUGCCGCGUGUGUGAAGAAGGUCUUCGGAUUGUAAAGCACUUUAAGUUGGGAGGAAGGGCAGUAAGYUAAUACCUUGCUGUUUUGACGUUACCGACAGAAUAAGCACCGGCUAACUCUGUGCCAGCAGCCGCGGUAAUACAGAGGGUGCAAGCGUUAAUCGGAAUUACUGGGCGUAAAGCGCGCGUAGGUGGUUUGUUAAGUUGGAUGUGAAAGCCCCGGGCUCAACCUGGGAACUGCAUCCAAAACUGGCAAGCUAGAGUACGGUAGAGGGUGGUGGAAUUUCCUGUGUAGCGGUGAAAUGCGUAGAUAUAGGAAGGAACACCAGUGGCGAAGGCGACCACCUGGACUGAUACUGAC